This 254-nucleotide ribosomal RNA is filed under the name uncultured prokaryote. Its description in RNAcentral is "partial 16S ribosomal RNA". It matches the Rfam family "Bacterial small subunit ribosomal RNA", at positions 524 to 776 of the family's 1533-position model. The record is from RNAcentral.
UACGGGGGGAGCAAGCGUUGUUCGGAUUUACUGGGCGUAAAGGGCGCGUAGGCGGCCACCGCAAGUCGACUGUGAAAUCUCCGGGCUUAACUCGGAAAGGUCAGCCGAUACUGCGGGGCUAGAGUGCAGAAGGGGCAACUGGAAUUCUCGGUGUAGCGGUGAAAUGCGUAGAUAUUGGAAAGACCACCGACGGCGAAGGCACUUUACUGGGCCAUUACUGACACUAAGAGACGAAAGCUAGGGGAGCAAAUGGG